RNAcentral lists this ribosomal RNA (2930 nucleotides) under Escherichia coli. RNAcentral's name for it is "23S ribosomal RNA". It matches the Rfam family "Bacterial large subunit ribosomal RNA". Lineage: Bacteria; Pseudomonadati; Pseudomonadota; Gammaproteobacteria; Enterobacterales; Enterobacteriaceae. The record is from RNAcentral.
GGGUUGUGAGGUUAAGCGACUAAGCGUACACGGUGGAUGCCCUGGCAGUCAGAGGCGAUGAAGGACGUGCUAAUCUGCGAUAAGCGUCGGUAAGGUGAUAUGAACCGUUAUAACCGGCGAUUUCCGAAUGGGGAAACCCAGUGUGUUUCGACACACUAUCAUUAACUGAAUCCAUAGGUUAAUGAGGCGAACCGGGGGAACUGAAACAUCUAAGUACCCCGAGGAAAAGAAAUCAACCGAGAUUCCCCCAGUAGCGGCGAGCGAACGGGGAGCAGCCCAGAGCCUGAAUCAGUGUGUGUGUUAGUGGAAGCGUCUGGAAAGGCGCGCGAUACAGGGUGACAGCCCCGUACACAAAAAUGCACAUGCUGUGAGCUCGAUGAGUAGGGCGGGACACGUGGUAUCCUGUCUGAAUAUGGGGGGACCAUCCUCCAAGGCUAAAUACUCCUGACUGACCGAUAGUGAACCAGUACCGUGAGGGAAAGGCGAAAAGAACCCCGGCGAGGGGAGUGAAAAAGAACCUGAAACCGUGUACGUACAAGCAGUGGGAGCACGCUUAGGCGUGUGACUGCGUACCUUUUGUAUAAUGGGUCAGCGACUUAUAUUCUGUAGCAAGGUUAACCGAAUAGGGGAGCCGAAGGGAAACCGAGUCUUAACUGGGCGUUAAGUUGCAGGGUAUAGACCCGAAACCCGGUGAUCUAGCCAUGGGCAGGUUGAAGGUUGGGUAACACUAACUGGAGGACCGAACCGACUAAUGUUGAAAAAUUAGCGGAUGACUUGUGGCUGGGGGUGAAAGGCCAAUCAAACCGGGAGAUAGCUGGUUCUCCCCGAAAGCUAUUUAGGUAGCGCCUCGUGAAUUCAUCUCCGGGGGUAGAGCACUGUUUCGGCAAGGGGGUCAUCCCGACUUACCAACCCGAUGCAAACUGCGAAUACCGGAGAAUGUUAUCACGGGAGACACACGGCGGGUGCUAACGUCCGUCGUGAAGAGGGAAACAACCCAGACCGCCAGCUAAGGUCCCAAAGUCAUGGUUAAGUGGGAAACGAUGUGGGAAGGCCCAGACAGCCAGGAUGUUGGCUUAGAAGCAGCCAUCAUUUAAAGAAAGCGUAAUAGCUCACUGGUCGAGUCGGCCUGCGCGGAAGAUGUAACGGGGCUAAACCAUGCACCGAAGCUGCGGCAGCGACGCUUAUGCGUUGUUGGGUAGGGGAGCGUUCUGUAAGCCUGCGAAGGUGUGCUGUGAGGCAUGCUGGAGGUAUCAGAAGUGCGAAUGCUGACAUAAGUAACGAUAAAGCGGGUGAAAAGCCCGCUCGCCGGAAGACCAAGGGUUCCUGUCCAACGUUAAUCGGGGCAGGGUGAGUCGACCCCUAAGGCGAGGCCGAAAGGCGUAGUCGAUGGGAAACAGGUUAAUAUUCCUGUACUUGGUGUUACUGCGAAGGGGGGACGGAGAGGGCUAUGUUGGCCGGGCGACGGUUGUCCCGGUUUAAGCGUGUAGGCUGGUUUUCCAGGCAAAUCCGGAAAAUCAAGGCUGAGGCGUGAUGACGAGGCACUACGGUGCUGAAGCAACAAAUGCCCUGCUUCCAGGAAAAGCCUCUAAGCAUCAGGUAACAUCAAAUCGUACCCCAAACCGACACAGGUGGUCAGGUAGAGAAUACCAAGGCGCUUGAGAGAACUCGGGUGAAGGAACUAGGCAAAAUGGUGCCGUAACUUCGGGAGAAGGCACGCUGAUAUGUAGGUGAGGUCCCUCGCGGAUGGAGCUGAAAUCAGUCGAAGAUACCAGCUGGCUGCAACUGUUUAUUAAAAACACAGCACUGUGCAAACACGAAAGUGGACGUAUACGGUGUGACGCCUGCCCGGUGCCGGAAGGUUAAUUGAUGGGGUUAGCGCAAGCGAAGCUCUUGAUCGAAGCCCCGGUAAACGGCGGCCGUAACUAUAACGGUCCUAAGGUAGCGAAAUUCCUUGUCGGGUAAGUUCCGACCUGCACGAAUGGCGUAAUGAUGGCCAGGCUGUCUCCACCCGAGACUCAGUGAAAUUGAACUCGCUGUGAAGAUGCAGUGUACCCGCGGCAAGACGGAAAGACCCCGUGAACCUUUACUAUAGCUUGACACUGAACAUUGAGCCUUGAUGUGUAGGAUAGGUGGGAGGCUUUGAAGUGUGGACGCCAGUCUGCAUGGAGCCGACCUUGAAAUACCACCCUUUAAUGUUUGAUGUUCUAACGUUGACCCGUAAUCCGGGUUGCGGACAGUGUCUGGUGGGUAGUUUGACUGGGGCGGUCUCCUCCUAAAGAGUAACGGAGGAGCACGAAGGUUGGCUAAUCCUGGUCGGACAUCAGGAGGUUAGUGCAAUGGCAUAAGCCAGCUUGACUGCGAGCGUGACGGCGCGAGCAGGUGCGAAAGCAGGUCAUAGUGAUCCGGUGGUUCUGAAUGGAAGGGCCAUCGCUCAACGGAUAAAAGGUACUCCGGGGAUAACAGGCUGAUACCGCCCAAGAGUUCAUAUCGACGGCGGUGUUUGGCACCUCGAUGUCGGCUCAUCACAUCCUGGGGCUGAAGUAGGUCCCAAGGGUAUGGCUGUUCGCCAUUUAAAGUGGUACGCGAGCUGGGUUUAGAACGUCGUGAGACAGUUCGGUCCCUAUCUGCCGUGGGCGCUGGAGAACUGAGGGGGGCUGCUCCUAGUACGAGAGGACCGGAGUGGACGCAUCACUGGUGUUCGGGUUGUCAUGCCAAUGGCACUGCCCGGUAGCUAAAUGCGGAAGAGAUAAGUGCUGAAAGCAUCUAAGCACGAAACUUGCCCCGAGAUGAGUUCUCCCUGACCCUUUAAGGGUCCUGAAGGAACGUUGAAGACGACGACGUUGAUAGGCCGGGUGUGUAAGCGCAGCGAUGCGUUGAGCUAACCGGUACUAAUGAACCGUGAGGCUUAACCUUACAACGCCGAAGCUGUU